RNAcentral lists this non-coding RNA (23 nucleotides) under Arabidopsis thaliana (thale cress). Lineage: Eukaryota; Viridiplantae; Streptophyta; Magnoliopsida; Brassicales; Brassicaceae. The record is from RNAcentral.
UGCGAAAGCAUUUGCCAAGGAUG